Molecule: RNA transcript, 838 nt
Organism: Daktulosphaira vitifoliae (grape phylloxera)
Lineage: Eukaryota; Metazoa; Arthropoda; Insecta; Hemiptera; Phylloxeridae
Exons: 5
Source: RefSeq, a predicted model, not a curated record
AAAAAAAUUAAUUAUAUGUUUUUCCCGAGCAACUAAAAAUGCUUGUUUCUAUUAUACAAUUUUUGAAAGUAGAUGUUAAUAUAUUUUUUUUGCAGUAAAAAAUGAUGAUCGUGUCAUUACAAUUAUUAAGUAUAAUGUGUUUUAAAUACGUAAUAUCAAAUGGCCAAACAUUUGACCACAAGGAUUUUAAUAAAUUUAAACCAGCAUAUCUGUUUUUGGGACAAUGUUUAAAGAAAAUAAAUAUUUCGGAUAGUUUAUUUAAACCAGGAAAUACCAAAGAAGAAAGAGGUGGCCUUUCUGAAUCCUAUAUAUACGACAAUUUUGAUUUCAUGAUAUUACUAAGGGAACGCAAAAUAACUUUGGAUGAAUACGAGACAGACUUUGGACUACGCACAUGUAUAUUUCAAAUAGACGAUGAAGACUGUCCGACUAGAUGCAAAGAUUGUUUAAAACAAUUACUAAAUUUCCUCAAAAAUAAUCAAAAAUGUCUCCCCAGUAAAGUAACAGGAAACGAUUUAGAAUUUUUUGAACUGUUCAAUUUUCCUGAAGAAAAUGACGAGUGUGUAUGUUAAAAUGAUAUUAUGGUUACAUUUUAAAGAUCUUAAUUAUCAUUUGCAAAUAAACAAAUAAAGUUCUCUAGUUUUGUAUUAUAAUAUUUAAGUCUCCAAUAGAGACAAAUUUAUACAACUUAUGAUAUUAAAUGCCUGAAAAUCAAGAGCAAUUUUAAGAUCCGUUUAGCAAUUACAAUGAAACAAUUUUGAUGUAUACAAAUUAUGGUUACAUUAAAAUAUGAAAAAUGUAAUUAAUAAAAAUAUGUUAGUUUUAAAUAGAUCGCAAA